This 762-nucleotide ribosomal RNA is filed under the name uncultured bacterium. Its description in RNAcentral is "bacterial SSU rRNA". It matches the Rfam family "Bacterial small subunit ribosomal RNA", at positions 36 to 796 of the family's 1533-position model. The record is from RNAcentral.
CUGGCGGUAUGCUUAACACAUGCAAGUCGAACGGUAGCAGGCCUUCGGGCGCUGACGAGUGGCGGACGGGUGAGUAACGCGUAGGAAUCUGCCUGGUAGUGGGGGACAACGUGGGGAAACUCACGCUAAUACCGCAUACGCCCUACGGGGGAAAGCGGGGGCUCUUCGGACCUCGCGCUAUCAGAUGAGCCUGCGUUAGAUUAGCUAGUUGGUAGGGUAAAGGCCUACCAAGGCGACGAUCUAUAGCUGGUCUGAGAGGACGAUCAGCCACACUGGGACUGAGACACGGCCCAGACUCCUACGGGAGGCAGCAGUGGGGAAUAUUGGACAAUGGGCGCAAGCCUGAUCCAGCAAUACCGCGUGUGUGAAGAAGGCCUUAGGGUUGUAAAGCACUUUCAAUGGGGAGGAAAACCUGCCGGUCAAUACCCGGUAGCUUGACAUUACCUUUAGAAGAAGCAUCGGCUAACUCCGUGCCAGCAGCCGCGGUAAUACGGAGGGUGCGAGCGUUAAUCGGAAUUACUGGGCGUAAAGCGUGCGUAGGCGGUUCGUUAAGUCAGAUGUGAAAGCCCCGGGCUUAACCUGGGAACUGCAUUUGAAACUGGCGGACUAGAGUUGAGUAGAGGGGAGUGGAAUUUCAGGUGUAGCGGUGAAAUGCGUAGAUAUCUGAAGGAACACCAGUGGCGAAGGCGACUCCCUGGACUCAAACUGACGCUGAGGUACGAAAGCGUGGGUAGCAAACAGGAUUAGAUACCCUGGUAGUCC